Molecule: long non-coding RNA, 223 nt
Filed under: Physcomitrium patens
Lineage: Eukaryota; Viridiplantae; Streptophyta; Bryopsida; Funariales; Funariaceae
Description: long non-coding RNA (PPAT_LNC003273)
Source: RNAcentral
UAUUUAUAUUUUUAAGAUAAUUAUUUCUAAAGUAUUUUCAUCUUAGCUCUUCUAUGAUAAUAUUUUUUUUUUUCUUUUAUCAUAUAAUUGUGUUACCACACAACAACGUGCAUGUGCUCAUUAAGCCCAAAUUGUGUGCAAAAUCUUACCCAUGUGGUUAUAAACAUAGCGGCUUUAUGUUCCUAACUUUUUAUUUGAUUAUUCAUGGUUUUGCUUAAAUCUA